AAUCCUUUCAUAGCAAUCCAUCCGUAUCCUCAAUCUCUAUUAUCAAAAACAAAACAUUACACUAAGAUACCAACUAAUCUAACAGUCCAAACAACCUUAUCUACCUUAAAUCCAGUCUUCAGCUAGCAAAAAAGUAACCAACAACCCAAAACUAAAAACAGUAUUCAACACUACAUAUCCAAAUUGCAAGCUGAACUACAUCGCUAAUCCACAUUAUUAAUAACGACUAGGAAACAACAAAUAAUUACAAUACAUAAAUUCAUUCAUACCUUGACAUCGCAGUUCCUAUUAAAUUCGCAAUCAAACAGAAAUUGACGAAGAGGAAGAAAUGAAAAAGAAUCAUACCCAUAUUCAACUGGCGCUUCG
Molecule: unclassified non-coding RNA, 366 nt
Filed under: Hevea brasiliensis (rubber tree)
Lineage: Eukaryota; Viridiplantae; Streptophyta; Magnoliopsida; Malpighiales; Euphorbiaceae
Source: RNAcentral